This 427-nucleotide ribosomal RNA is filed under the name uncultured bacterium. Its description in RNAcentral is "bacterial SSU rRNA". It matches the Rfam family "Bacterial small subunit ribosomal RNA", at positions 355 to 774 of the family's 1533-position model. The record is from RNAcentral.
UGGGGAAUAUUGGACAAUGGGCGAAAGCCUGAUCCAGCCAUGCCGCGUGUGUGAAGAAGGUCUUCGGUUUGUAAAGCACUUUAAGUUGGGAGGAAGGGCAGUUACCUAAUACGUAAUUGUUUUGACGGUUCCUGAAGAAUAAGCACCGGCUAACUACGUGCCAGCAGCCGCGGUAAUACGUAGGGUGCAAGCGUUAAUCGGAAUUACUGGGCGUAAAGCGCGCGUAGGUGGUUUGUUAAGUUGAAUGUGAAAUCCCCGGGCUCAACCUGGGAACUGCAUCCAAAACUGGCAAGCUAGAGUAUGGUAGAGGGUAGUGGAAUUUCCUGUGUAGCGGUGAAAUGCGUAGAUAUAGGAAGGAACACCAGUGGCGAAGGCGACUACCUGGACUGAUACUGACACUGAGGUGCGAAAGCGUGGGGAGCAAACA